UGCCAGCCGCCGCGGUAAUACGGAGGGUGCAAGCGUUGUUCGGAAUUACUGGGCGUAAAGCGCGCGUAGGCGGCUAUUUAAGUCAGAUGUGAAAGUCCACGGCUCAACCGUGGAAGUGCAUUUGAAACUGGAUAGCUUGAGUACUGGAGGGGGUGGUGGAAUUCCCGGUGUAGAGGUGAAAUUCGUAGAUAUCGGGAGGAACACCAGUGGCGAAGGCGACUUCCUGGGCCAAUACUGACGCUGAGGUGCGAAAGCGUGGGGAGCAAACAGGAUUAGAUA
This 279-nucleotide ribosomal RNA is filed under the name uncultured bacterium. Its description in RNAcentral is "partial 16S ribosomal RNA". It matches the Rfam family "Bacterial small subunit ribosomal RNA", at positions 506 to 784 of the family's 1533-position model. The record is from RNAcentral.